GUUCAGAUCUAUAUCCUGUAAUCACAGAAUUUGUUGGCAGAGAAACCUUGUAAAAACUGGGUCAGUGUGUUGACAAACAUAUAUCAAACUGUUGCUGUACACACUGAUCUGUCUUUAGAAUCCCUAAGCCUUAUUUGCAAAGCAAUGCUGGUAAAAGGGACAGUUUGAGCAGGGAUGGAAUGAGAGUGCUUUGAAUGAAGAAUGAGGAGGAACACCUGACAAGGGCUACAGGUAAAUGUAUUUGUGUGAAUCUGCCUUUAGUGUAUUGCAUUCUGCGAUUUACAAAGUAUUAUUUAUGUUUUAUGUUGUACUUAUUUUAUCUCGUUUUUUUUGGGAAAAGUAAAAAUAGCAUAUUCAAGUUUGAAUUAAUUAUGUAUCAUCCCGAUUUAAAAAGCCAAAAUAAAAAAGAUUAAAUAAUUUUUGUAGAUUAAAUUCUAUUUAUUACAUACAGCAUAUGAUUAACUGUUUUUGUUUUGUUUUUUUACCAGUGUUAAAUCCUCCUUGAACUCGUCUAAUUGAAACUUGUGUUAAUAAGAUUUGUCCAAACUGGGCAUUAAAGAGGUAAUAAAUUCUGGCAAACUAUCCAACACUUGCAAAUCCAACAUACCAAUGUAAUAUUAUUAUCACAGUGGAUCAUGGGAAACUUAAAUUAAGUAAUAUGAAAAGUCCUGCUUUUGGCUUUUCAAAAAUGUCAAAGUGUAGUUUUAUUACUCAACAAAUUAAAUAUUGGGCUAUUGUUAAAAAGACAUUGAAACGAAACAUGGAAAUAACUGGUAGUUUAAUUUAAUUUAUUAUAUUUUUUAUCUUAGAGGUGAAAGUCUUCUUCUUCUCACGAUGCUGGGGAUGACAUACUACUCGCUGCUUUGGUGGCAACACAAGUCCUGCAUGGCCAAUAGGAUGUGAGUAUUACAUGAGGUUUUAUUCUUAUGGUACAGUUAGAGAACCCACACAUCUUUAAACUACAUCCAUCAUCCAGAAUGUACUUUUCUGGGUAAUUCUUUUUUCUGGGUUCAUCACUCAUAUUUCUUUAAUUUCCAUAACAUUUUCACUUAAUUCACUUUUUUUCCAUCUCAUCUUUGUCCUUUGUUUCUUUUGUCUAUCUCCAUAUGUGUCUAUCGAAUAUUUUUCCGCCAAUGUGUCUUUUUUGCUUCCUACGUGCGUCUCUAAACUAUUUCCCAUCUCAGUAUCCAGUGCUGGAUUACUCAUGUAGUGGGCAUAGGUGACUGCCGAGGGGACAGACAGGGGCCUGGACUUGGAGUUCAGGCACUGUUUUGAGGGGGCCCUAUCUGAACUGGCCCGGGAGAUCAAUAUAUCUUGCUGUUUGGCCCUGUAGACCCUUGCUUCAUCAUGGAAGCAUUGUGGUGUGCACCUCUAUUGUACACCACAAUUAAUCUAACUUCAUACCUCACGUCUUUGCCAUAUUUUCCCCAUGUAAGCUGAUACUGCUCUCACUCCUAUUGGAUACAUUGAAACUAAUCCAUCUGAUGUGAAUGAAGGAGUUGGACACUAUGAUGACACACUGCACAUUACUAUAUUUUAGGAAAUGAAAACAGAGUUUACUUACUUUCUUUUCUUAAGUUACUUUAGCUGCAGCAGAGCAAAUACUUUAAUGUUAGAAUGGGAAAAAACAGAAUAGAUUAAAAUAGCAUUUGUAUGUAUUUUAAAUAGUAUAUCUAAAAUAUAGAAAUAUCUGGAGAGACUAUAAAACUGUGAUCUGUCUAUCUAUCUGUCUGUCCAUCUGCCAGUUUCUCUGUCUGUCUGUCUAUCUAUUUAUUGUUCAGGGGCUCAAAUCUAAGGCAGAACUGGGACAUACAUAUAUUAAUCUGUCUAAGAUUAAUGGGAGUUACAUUCCUGAGUUGCAGCUGCCACCACUUUAAUUCAACUUGUUCCCAGAUGGGUGAUGUGGCAGACCCAUUUGCCAAACAUGCUUCCUAGCUAUCGCCGGGACACCAUCAGCACUUCAGCCCCUAGCUGCCGCAGCUUGGCUGGGGUCUCGCCGUUGCUUCCCACCCUGGCACAGGGUCCUGGAUCCAGCUUCUAGAAAUCAAAGCUCUCCAGCAGAGAGUAUAGCUGUUAUAGCAUUCUCCCCACACAUUAGCCGAGACUUAAUGGUGGGAGUAGAUCUGUUUAAUGCAGGCAAGCAUUCACAAUUUAAACACACAGUAAACUCCUCCCCUGUGUCUGAGAGAUAAUUGCGUCAGGAACUGUACAAACACAAUUAUCUCCAGGUAAAGAAAAGUAUAACAAUUUUUAAACAUACCAAACAUACCCAAAAUACAUUUAACACUCCACAAAAGACACACCCCCCGAUAGCUCUGAUCUGAGUACCUAACAUCCGAAAAGCACUCAGAUCGGUUCGGUGGUUUGGAUUUUCCAUCGAGGUAGACUUUUGACCGACCGCACACGUGGCUUCUGCCCAAAAUAGUUCCAUAAGAAAAGUGUUAGUGGUCGGUCACUUUUGGGAGUCCAAAACCAAAUGAAAUGCCAAACUAAUCUUUUGGCUCCAAGGUAGCGAUUGUUCGCCUAGUUCAUGGGAACAAUCCUACCGAAUGGUGCUCUCCUGACAUGAGUAAACACGAAGCAGGCGUUCAUCAAAUUUCAGCGGUGUUCGCGAGCUAGAGUGUCCGAUUUUAGUCCAUACACUUGAUGACCAAACACCGCUGCCUGCAUUUGUGCGACUAUAUAUAUUUAUUUAUUAAUUUAUAAAAUAUUUUACCAGGAAAGAUACAUUGAGAUUUCUCUCAUUUUCAAGUAUGUCCUGGGCCACCAACUCAGUUCCCACAUGUUCUUGCAUACAAACGGCAGCCACCCAGCAGAACCCUUAUGAUACAUAGUGUGAAAUCGAUGAUGGAGGUGUCAGGAGAGGUUAUAGGAGUUAACAAACCCAGAGGUGGUCAGAAAUUUGGUUCUCAAACUAAAAAGGGAAACCACACGAACCAAGUCUUUUAAAGGUCAGUUACAUGGCCCAUAGCCCUUGGGCAGGAGGAUAGCCAGCAGGCUUCUCCAGGAGAGACAUAGCAGAGACAUUUUUGCCACAGGUGACACUAGGAAUGGCUGCCUCCUGGGACAGUAAUAAUUGUACUAAUGUCUAUCCAAAUGAUGCUCUAAACAUACAUAACUCCCCUUGAAGCAGCUCUGUCAUUUUACAUGUUGCUUUUUGUCCCUUUAGGCUGCUCUUUGUUUGUUGUUUUAAUAAAGCAAAAUAUUCCUUAAAAAGUUAUACAUAAGGAAGUGCCAGGACUACUUUUACUUUUGUAAAAACGGCCAGUUGAAAAAAGUUGACAAAAGAGUUUCAGUCUAGUUCUGUGUCAUUUGUCACCUCUGCCAUUGGAUAUCAAGCUCUCUGCUUAUCUCCCACAUCAGUGAGUCACACAUGUAUUGCAAUCCUCCAUAUAUUCUAUGCAAUGUUUAGAGCACCACAAAUGACCAUUGAAUUACAAAUUACAUGAAGGGCAGAGGAGACAAGUUCCGGAGUGGACCUGGAAGAAUUUCAAAGAGGGCAGUACGGUGAAUAUAGACCCAGUGAGGCCGGCAGGUUAUUACAAACCUGGCUGAGAUCGCAUGUGCUAGUGUCCAUGUGCGGCAGAAUGCUGCUGUGUGCCAAUAAAUGGUCUCUAUGAGACCAUCCGAUGGAACACCUGAGCUUAACUUGGCAAUUGGGUUGGAAGCGCCUCUAUUGGCUGUCAGUGUGUUCCUGCAGAACGUCAAUGUUUUCAGUUGCAGGGUUAAAACUACUGGGACAUUGCAUUCAUUGAGAAGUUGUCUGGAUGCCCAUAGUGUCCUUUUUUAAUAUUUAAUAUAUUAUUAUUGUUUCCUUGUGCUUCUGGAGCCUAUUGCUAUCGUAAGGGUCCAUGUACCAGAAAAACUAUAUGUAAUUAAAAUAUAAUAAAUGUAAAAUGACUAAUACUACGUAUAUUAAUGGCAACGUCUCCUUAACUGCAUAAAAAGCACUGGAUAACUAGCCACAUGCGAGAAAUGUCAGCCUACACACUAUGACUUCACCAACCGUCUUAAAAUAAAACAUGAAAUCUGCUAGGCAGUCUCAGCCAUUUCUUGCAUUCUAAGAAUACCAUACCGCCAGUAACACAGACAGAUGGCUCCAAUAUAUUUCUCUGCUCUAAAAAAAAAACAAAAAAACACACACACAUGGAUAUGUCUCUCUAUGAUAAGAUGAAUAUUGACGAACUCCCUUGCUGUAAGUGAUGAUUAAUAACAAACGGUAACUAGGUGGAUUUAGUGAAUCAUUUGUCACGUACCUUGAGAUUUUUUGGAAUUAACUUCGUAUGAACUUUUCAUUGUCUGUGGUGGGUGUUUGAUGUGAUACACAUUUCUCCUGUUCGUAGCAAUAUAUCACGUUUAUAGAAAUGCUGCUAGUGCUUCAUGCAUUUUAACUUAUUUAGAGUAAGGGGGAUGAAAAAUACCCCGUUGCACUAAAACAUUUGUAAAUCUUUAGCUAGAUUUAAAUGUGUAACAAAUAUUUUUUGUGCUACAAACAUAAGAAUCAACCUAAAUAAUAUGUAGCAAACUGACAAUCCAGUUUCCUAAUACUGUAGUAAAAACAUUAGCCUUAAUGGGACAUUCCGUGUGCCAUGAGUUAUCAAGCAACUGAAUGCCAGUUGAAAACAUUUUGCAAAAUAUAAAAAUACCCUCUGCCUUGCACACCAACCUCUCUGUCACACCUUGCCAAUUUAUGUAAAUUGUUUAAACAGCUGUGUUGUAUUGUAAGAGCAUGCUUGUACCCAUCGCAGUAUGAGUAUAUAAUGUACUAUGGUGUAGAAACAAACCAGACUCUAGUACAGAAACUGUGUGUACGUAGCUGUUCUUUUGUAUAGUAGCUAUGCUGCUGGUAUUUUCACUCAUUGCAAAAUUCGCAGGAAGCUACAGUCAGCUGCUAUAACGUUGCACUGGUUACGCACACAGCUCACAAGUGUCUCAACUUUGUUAAAACUACUUUGUUAAAACUACUUUUCCCACAAGGCCUUCAGAUGGCAGUGAACUUAUAUCAUAACUCCCAACAAUUUGGAGGGAAGAAUCAGGAUGUGGUAGACGGGGCCCUGAGGGGGCAUCACCAAUGAAGCAACCAGCAUCACUAGCAAUGCCCAUAAUAGGUGGGACUGCCCAUAAAAGUGGCAUCCGGCCUGGCCACUAAAAGCCUGCCUGACCACUGAAAGCCUGCCUGACCAGUCCCUAGCUUUCAGGACUUUGCAGGGAGCCCUUCUUGUUGCAUGGUCCCAGUGGUACUUGAAUUUGAGCUAUAUUUGCCUAUAUUUAUAUGUAGCCACUUGACAUUUAGCUAACUCAAAAUGUAUUGGUGUCCUUUGAUAUUUACUAUGAAUAGACAUCUAUUCUAUAUCUAUUUAGAGUUAAUUGGUUGCUAUAGUUUUAUCAUCAAUGCAUUACUUCUCAUUUGAACAAGUGCGAUCAAUACUGACUCUGAACACAGGAACACUACUAUUAUUUCUUCAUUAACUAAAUACAAUAUAUAUAUAUAUAUAUACUAAAUUAAAAUGUUUACACUCAGAUAAUUAAAAACUAUUUACAUGCUAUUACCUAAUUAACUUUAAUAAUAGUCCCAACAGUUCAAGUCCUUAUUCCCACCACAUUGUCCUCCAUUUUCAGUUCCCAAAAUAAAAGGCCAAUCUUUUAAUUCCUAUCUCUCAUAUCUCCCUUACCCUUACCAUCCCAAAAAUAAGUAGUAAGAGGAAGGGAUGAGCCUAACGAUUCCACCCAUUCGCACCUUGACAUAGAUGCCACCAGUGGUCCCAGCAAUGCUGCCAAUGUGUCCUCUAGAUCAGUGUUUCCCAACCCAGUCCUCAAGGCACACCUACCAGUCCAGGAUUUAGGGAUUACCCAGUUGUGUCUAAGGUGUUUUUUUUCUUCUUUGUAAAAACACCUUAGACACAACUGGGUAAUCCCUAAAUCUUGGACUGGUAGGUGUGCCUUGAGGACUGGGUUGGGAAACACUGCUCUAGAUGUUACAAUGUCACUGCCCCUGCUAUGUCAUCUCUUUCAUAAGACUCAGCAUUGUUCAUAGUCAGUUCAUAUGUGUCUAGUAGGGCAGCUAGUUCAUCAGGACAUCCAACUGGGUACAUGUUGGGCUCCCCACACAGCUCUUCAACACUGUGGAGCCCAUUACAAUUGAUUGCUAACCGCAAGUGUAGUGCAAAUGCGCAGUGUGCCUAUUAUACUGUCCAGUUGUGAUUGCCAUUGCAACAACAUAGAAGACAAACUUUUUAGUGUGAUACCCACCGGUAAAACACAAAUAGCUAUUUUAAGAUUAGAUUAUAAUAGGGGUAGACCAGAAAACAUGGACUAGAAGGUUGGAAAUCUAUUUCGUGGCUGCAAAUGUCUACUGGCCGUUGUUAACAAGGCAUUUACUGACAAUAUUAUAGCCCUAUGUUUCCACAGCAAUGUUUCAAGAAAUGUUUCUACACAUUUCUUUUUUACAAAGUUUCCAUAAUCUUUGCCUUGAUUUACAUCAUUACAUGUUGUCGAGGUCCAAGAUUGGACACCUCUGCUUUAGAUGAAGCUAGUUUUUGCCAAAUUAUAUUUCUCCCGGGCUGUAAAAUGAGUUUUAAUGCAUCCUUGAAUCCUCCAAACAGACAUUAAUUAUGUCAAGAAAAUAAAAGGCUGCACAUGUAAACAGGUAUUCAUGUUUGGCUUAUAGUAUAUUAAUAUGCAUUUAACCCUCUGGUAAUUCUUUGCAUUUAGUCCUAUAAUACCACAGGGGGUACUGAUGCAUUUGGUAUUUAUUUUCAAAGACCCGUUUUUUGGCAGGGUGGCUGUGCAAUUACAUAGUACAGUAUUCAUCGCUGGAUAUUUGUCACAUGCAUGCCAGUCCUUCUUUUCCCUGUAAUAUUUUGGAAAUGAGAUGAAGAUAAGUGAUUUCAAUUUUCGAGCAGUAGAUGUUUCUAUCAUCAAGAGACAAAAACUAAAUUAGCAAUCACAGAGGAAGCCAGUGUAGCAUCUGCCUUGGUAUUAAUCUGGCAACCAGCUUGAGAACACACAGAAGACAUCUCUACAUCAUUACACUGUGAAAUUUGAAUUCUAGAAUGUUAGUAUCUUAGCUCCACGCUGAAGUCUUGAUACCUUUAAUGGUGAGAUAUUAAGAUGCGGAAUCGUUAAAAGAGGACCUCAUGUGAAAAACUUUAUCCUGCAUAAUUACUACAAUAUUAUAAAUGGAGAUUGGAAUAUCUGCUGCCCUAAAGGAGAUACCGGAGACAAUUAACACUAUUCACCUCAAUGCCUGUGCAUUUAGUUUGUUAAAUUAGCAUUUUUGCCUGCAGUCGGACAUCUCAACCUCUCAUUAUCUCAUUACGUCUCAUUGUACCGUCUAUGAACAUGAACUAGGCUCCAAAAAUGUUUUAUUGCUUCUAAGAACUAUGUGCAAAGAUAUCAUGCUAUAACCAUGCAGUCAUUGUACAUAAUUUAAUUUUUAUUAGUGGGUCAUGUUUAUUAAGGAAUUAAAUGAUGAAACAAUAAUGAAAAAAAUCCUUAACAUUGAUCUGAAUUGUUUUGGGAAAUAUGUCUACCAUCAUGGGUGAAGCUACCGAGAGGAGCAAGGACAAGAGAACAGGACAGACAAGUGAACAAAUGUCAUGGGAAUAUAAACAGAUAAAGCAAGUCAUAAAAUGUACUGUUUUUUCUUUUAUGAUACAGUUCUAUGCCAAAGUUUGAGCAAAAUUGGGCCGUUCGGUGUACUUCAAAAUAUAAAUAUUAUGUUAAUAUUGUCUACAACACUGAUAGGAGUAUUUUCUCAGAAUUUGGUUCACAUAUCAGUUGGGAAAAGGUAUCAUAAUUCUUGCUGUUUUUGGUUUCCACGUACCAAAAUGUCCAAAUAGAUGUUAAAAGGAGCUGCUAAAGUCAAGGCAACAACUGGAAGAGCAAAUAGAAACUCCAGUAGAACUGCUUGUAAACAGAAAAACAAAACUCCAAUUAAAAGAUAAAUGGCACGUUUGGAGAAAAAAACAAGGAUACAAUAGACAAAAACUAAGAAAAGAAAACCUUGUAAGCUAACCCUCAAACAUUGAGGUGACUCUAUUAUAGUUCAGGUUUGUAUUGCUGCUGGCACAAGAAAUAUUGCCGAGGUCGAGUGAAAAAUUGAAUCUACUAUAUAUCAACAGUACCUUGAACGUAAUGUUCCACAGUCAGUGUAAUAAACUGAAGGUGAAAAUAGGUUGGAUCUUCCAACAAAGCAACGAUACAAAACAAAACUUAUAACCAACCAUGAACUACUUGUAUCUUCCAACAAAACAACGAUACAAAACAAAAUCUAUAACCAACCAUGAACUACUUGUAUCUUCCAACAAAGCAACGAUACAAAACAAAACCUAUAACCAACCAUGAACUACUUGUAUCUUCCAACAAAACAACGAUACAAAACAAAACCUAUAACCAACCAUGAACUACUUGUAUCUUCCAACAAAACAACGAUACAAAACAAAACUUAUAGCCAACCACGAACUACUUAUAUCUUCCAACAAAACAACAAUACAAAACAAAACCUAUAACCAACCAUGAACUACUUGUAUCUUCCAACAAAACAACGAUACAAAACAAAACUUAUAACCAACCACGAACUACUUGUAUCUUCCAACAAAACAACGAUACAAAACAAAACUUAUAGCCAACUAUGAACUUCUUUAGAAAACUAAGAUUAAGGUUUCCGAAAAGGCCUUCACUGCUCCUAGACUUGAAUAUUAUUGAAAAAACAAUUCAUUAGAUACAACCAAAGUAUGUUUCUACAUACUAAACUAUAUAUUGCUGCUGUCUUUUGUUUUGCAUAACAAUACUCUGCUGAAGGCCUAUACUUGUUCAGAAAGGCAGUUAUGUAUCCCGAGGCUGGGAUUAUUCCACCCACGUUUGACACAAAGCUCUAGUAAAUGUAAGUGAUUUUCCACAUUCACCUUUUCCAGAUUUCCAGCUAUACUCCACCACUGGAUUUCUUUCUCGGGUUUUUUCAAACUCACCCGCAUGGAACGCAACCACCAUUUUUUGAGAAUCUGGUAUUUGUACAUGUCAUAUAUUCUGUUCUUUUUUUUUUACAUUCAGUUACAUUUAGCAAAUACAAAGUAAUUGUGCAAUACAUAUGCAAAAUUAUGUAGUGGGGUGUUUCACUGAAAGGAGAGUUUUAACUUUUAUUGUGUUUUGACUUUUAAUGUUAUCGCAGUUUUUAAACUUUUACAUGCAACUUUAUUAGAAAAAAUGCUAUCACCACAAAAUUGAACGUGUGAAUAGUGGGAAAAGUAUGUCAUAUACUUAUUUAAUAUUAAACAGGAAAGCCUCCCACUGAUCACCUCCCAUAUGGUAAUCUCACAUCAACCAGAAGCGAAACAACAAAAACAUGAAUGGGAUACGGCUGUAUAUUCUGAAAGGGAACAUUAAAUGGAAAUAGUGUAAUACAGUUAAGAGUUAUAUAGAUGCGCUGUUACUCAAUGCACUCACAGAAUGUAGGUGUUAAAAUUGCUCAAAGGGUGCGUCCCCCGAUGGUGAUGGGGGGCUAUCAACCCAUGCCUCAGUCCAGGUAUAUUGUUUGAAAGCAGGACUCCAGGUGAAAGGAAAAUUUUAUUAUAAAUAAAAGGUGAACAAUCGCCAAUGUAAUAAAAUGCAAGGUACAAGGUACGGUCCUACGUGUUUCGUACAAAAUAAAAUAAAGCUAUUAGCUUGUUCCAAAUCUAGGAAUCUUUACUGACCUGUGAUAAAUUAAUAACGGCUUUUUAAAAUUCAGGUGAAUGAAGCACCUCAGUAAAAACAUCACUUAAAGAGAGAGGUGGUAUUAUUUAUGGAAAUUGCAAACAUCAUGCGGGGGAAAAUACCAAGAGGAGCAAGGACAAGAGAACAGAGCGGACACGUGAAGGAAUCUUAUAGAAAAAGCAAGUCAUGAAAUGUAUUCUGUUAUUUCCUUCAUGAUGUUACAGUUAUCUGCAAAAGUGUGAGCACCCCUGGCAAGAUAGCAUUGUCCUGCUUGUUUUCAAGUCAAAGUAAGUUAACAAAAACUCUACAAUGAACACUUAUAAACAUAAUGUAAUGUAUUUCAGCAAACUAUAAUGGGCAGCUAUCAUUAGACCUGCACACAACAGAAAAAUCGAAUUCCUUGGAAACACUUUGUUAAAAAAAAAAAAAGUUUCAGGUAGUCAGAUAGUCAACUCCAAGGCGGCUAUUUACUAACCCGAGAACGUUUUAUAGUCAGUCACAUUGAUUGAUUGUGCAAUUCACAACACACCAAAAAGACUUUCUUCUUUAAUUACUGAGUUUAAAGGGAAUUUAUUGGCUAAUUGUUAACUUUUCAAUAUAUUGUACAAUUCAGAAGAGGUCAGCUCAAGUAGGAUCCUAGAAGCCUUCUAUUAUUCACACCGUGCACAAAAUGAAUAAGGAAAACAUAUUGCAUAAAGCAGUCUUGGUCCUUUAUCUUGGCGAAGAUUGCUAAUUAGAAAAUCAGCGCCAAACUUACUUUAUUUAAAAAAAGCCUGAUUGCUUCAGUAAAUAAAUACAAACUCAAGCAGGUGUCCUUAAGACAACUGGUCUACUAAGAAGCAACUGCAUGGCAGUGGUGUUUGGGGGAUGGAAGAAUAGUUGAAAAACAAAUACACGUCUCCUGGGCUAGUCUACCUUUUCUUUAAACUUUAAUAUAAUCCUGUAUGGUUAGUUAGGAAUUAAUACAGAGAUUGGAGAUGGUAUUCAGAAGGCACCUCUCUGUUUCUCCAUCCUUUGCCAGCAGCCAGUGCUUGAGUGAUCCCUAAUCCCUCUAGUACAAAAAAAGAUCUACUUGCCUCUCUACCAAUCUGCCCCAGAAAAUUAUUAUUAUUUUAUAUAUAUAUAUAUAUAUAUAUAUAAAACUUCUAUUUUUGUGAGACUAUGAUUUUUGUCUCCUGAAAGAGUUAUAUCUAUAAAUACCUAUUUUUUUUUUUCUUCUGACAGCCUUUCAUCCGCAUGAUCAGUGGAAAAAUAUAUAAAAAUACGCUUCAAUUUUUUUUUAUUUUCUUUGUAAAUUGCAGCUUUUACUCAUUCCUGUGCGCAAUGUAAAAAAUUUGACAGUUCAUUUCUUUCUAAAAACGAGGUAUUUAGUUCUCUAGCAAUCUUUUGUUGCAGAAUGUUUCAGGUUAACAUUAUUCACGUCUCUUUUUAUUCCAUUUCAAAGGAACAGAAUUUUUAUAUAUCUAUUUGAAAUUUAACAGUGUUAAAGCAUUAGUCAGACUAAAAAAAGGGUAUGAUCUGGAAGAAAGAAUAGUCUCUCUUAGCAUAUUAUAUACCGAACAAAAACAAGGACCUGGUUUGCCAAACAGUGAAAAAUGUAACAAAUGUUUUGAUAACAAUUUUAUAAAGACUUUAAUCAAUCAUGACUUGAGUUGACUCAAGUUUAAAACAUGGACGAUAUGACUAGUCAACUGAUCACUGGAGUAAAAUGUCAUUGGUUGUAAAGUAGUAACAAUUUGUGGAAAAACAAGCAUCGUUUGUGAAUCAAGACUUCCAAGAAAGGCUUGGAAAUGGAGAUAGGAUUUAGUCAAAGCAUUAUAAGAAGCUCAAUGUAGAAAUGAAAAGGUUUUAUUGGCACCAAGGCCAAAAUACAACAGGGAGGAAUCACAAAAUGUCCUAAUGCAUUUCGGAACCUUAAGUCCUUCAUCAUAGGACUAUGGAAGACAGGGUCCCUGAAUGUUUGUAGUAUCAGCGAGGUUAACAAAAAAUACAUUCUUGGUUGUUUAUAUCCAGAAGUCGGGGAGAAGGGUAGGAGGGAGUUUAAAAACAAAACAAAAAAACUGUGGAAUAGAGGGAGAUGAAAUGGAGUACAGAGAGAGUAAGAGUUGCCCUGUCUGCAAGGGUGGAAUUUCUACGUCUGUUCUCAGAGUGCAGUUCUGGACUGCAAAUGCCACGUGUGCUGGGAGAACAACUAGACCCAGCACACAAUUAAAAAUAUCUCUGUAUAUUGCACCUACUGGCUCCCACCACCAUGACCACUUCAGUUCACUGAAAUGGUCAUGGUGGUUUGAGUAACUCUUUAAAUCUGUAAAUGCAUUAUGUAGGGUUGUUGUCCAGUCAGAUGCAUGGGUCAGGGCAGAAAGAGAGAAUAUAUACUCCAGUUGACAAAUCGGGGGUCUGUAAUAUAGAGGGAAAAGUGUAUCUCUGUGUGUCCUAUAUGUCUCCUGGUUUUCAUAGCCUCCUCUAUGCUAACUUUCUGGUUCCUGACGCAAUUUUAUUUUGCUAAAUUCCUGAUUCAGAUUUUCAUUUUUGUUUUUAAUGAAUGGAGCUUUUUGGAAUGGGUUUAAACAUUUUCAUUACAUCAGUUGCCUUUAUUCUUUAAUCAAUAUGGAAAGUUGAAAACGAUCAGUUUUUAGACAGUCACGGAUAUAUUCUCGUUUACCAUAACAUAAUGUCACUCUGUCCAACCAGUAAAUCUGCAGUUUACACAUGGCUAAACACAUUGGACAUCCCAGCAUAUAUUCCUAUUUCAGAUGGUGCAGGGAGUAAGAGAUCCACAGUCUUCCUUCAAAAAUCAUCAAAUAGCAAAAGACUCUAGCGUAAAUGUAAAUUCUAACAGGAUGCACGGGUUUGUUAGUGCAAUACCAGGUACAAAGAGGUGAGCAACAUUUUGAUCAUGUGACUUUCAUUUGGUUUAUAUCUAAUAAAGAUCACCUGACCAAAACGGUAUAGUUUGCUAACCCUUCACCCCCACCAUCCCUGGAGUAAAGUAUCAUUGUGCUGGAGUAUUUUUUGCUAUUUCUGCCAUUUUUACUAAUCAGCCGCCAUGCAAACGUGUUUGUCCUUAAAAUUUAUCCCGACAUUAUAUCAUUCUGAGAACUUUAUCCACUAGCACAUAUUAUUUGUUAUUAAUAAGUCCUAUUUUCAUAAAUUUCAGCCACAGCAUAUCGAGGACCUGUGGAUUGAAAAGGAAUUACAUUAUAAGUCACCUUGCAGCAGAAUCUAAAUGUGACCGAGAAAAGCUAUCACAAACCAUCUCAGAAAUUAAUUCUGAUUACCAAUCAGUCCAUGUCCAGUGAUGAAUGAUUGGAUCUCCAUCUGCAGUGACAGCUAACACACUAUUUAAGCAUCACAGCAUUAUAAAAUUAGCUUUUUUUCACUCCUUUGAAUUUGAUUUAAAUAGCAGAAGGGUCAUUUUUUCACUUGGCAAAAAAAUGUUUUCGCAUUAGGUGCUAGUAAGACCUGUGGAAAAGAUUAACUAUAUGUAUUUAUAAAUGUAUAUGUUUUUAUAUACACAGCUUGCCACAGCUAAAGGGCAAUGAGAUUUACUGGAACAACCCGGCAGAUAUUACUCAGAGGUAAUUAUUCUGUUACAGGUAAAACAUCAUUUUAAAGACAAACAUUUCACUGUCUAGCAAGUUAUUCACUAAAAUGAGAGUUUAGAGUGGAUUUGUGGUGAAUUUCAAAUUUAAUGCCAAAUCAAACAAACUGGAAGCACAGAUGGCUUUGAAAAUGUUUCAAAUUAGACUAUUUUUACCUUAAAUUUGACGUCUACUCUGAAUUCACUUUGAAUUUUCAGUUUAGUGAAUAACUCUGUAGAUCUACUUUUUGUGUGAGAUUUCACUCUCUCUUUUAAAGGAUAACUAUUUAGACAGAAGUUGCGAAUCUGCAGGUAAAGGGGACACAACACACCAUGCCCAUGUAUGUUUAUUUAUGAACUUUCUUAAUUUUCCAUCUAAUGUCAAGGAGGCCAUUCAUCACCCUUCACAAAGCAUACGGGAUUCUGUAAUUAUAUAUAGUGAAGUGGGUGCACUUUGAAUUGAAUGGGGGACAGUUGGGCACAGUUAUACUGCUAAUGGCCUGAUAAAGUGUCGGUUGAUUGUGGCAGUACUAUACUGGAGGAGGGCAGCAUACUUCUCAGCUUUGGGAGGUAUUGAAAUGGGCCAAGCAUGGACACGGUGAGACAGCCCAUAACAGUCAUGGAUUGAAUGCCAUUGGUUUCCUGAUUGACAGUCAUGAGGGUAUAAAGUAAAAAAUACGGGAAUCUGUUAGCUCCUAGAGCACGUCAGCAAGCUAAAGAGCUGUGGGGGUUUGAGGAGUCCCUUUAAUGCAUUUGUCCAUUUUACCUCCAGAGGGAUUAAACAGUGAGGAAAGUCAUUAGGCCACACAGAGGAGCUGAAAAAAGCUCAUAUUUUGACAUCAACAUUCCAUAACAGAUAAAAACCAUAUUACUUGGAAAUGAACAGAAACUAUUUGGGUUGACUCGUCAUUGAAAAACUGAAAUUUUGUUGCAAAUUGGUAAUUAUAGAACACUAAGCAAAACCAAUAUCAUCGCUUUAUUUAAUAUAGCAUAUUAUGAUGGAGAGUGACCUGAUAUCACCACCAAAGCCAUCUCACUGGGCCUACAGUAUAGGCAAAUGACAACAGGGUAGAAUGGAUGUAGAUAUAAACACUUACACAGGUAAGAGUAGCAACUGUUUGCUAAGCAACAGCAUUUCUCCGAUGAUGGGAGACGUGCACUUACCAACAACAAUGGGAAAAAUAACUAUCCUGAAUGUAAAGUAAAUGAUUGCGGCAAUAAUUGUACCUUGUUUUUCUUCUACACAUUUUUACUUCAAAGUACAUCAUCCGCAAG
RNAcentral lists this long non-coding RNA (14548 nucleotides) under Pelobates cultripes (western spadefoot toad). The record is from RNAcentral. Lineage: Eukaryota; Metazoa; Chordata; Amphibia; Anura; Pelobatidae.